This 135-nucleotide ribosomal RNA is filed under the name Candidatus Methylomirabilota bacterium. The record is from RNAcentral. Lineage: Bacteria; Methylomirabilota (SeqCode). RNAcentral also lists the same sequence under 1 other name.
GGUUGCAGUUAUCGCGGAGGGGUCACACCCGUUCCCAUUCCGAACACGGAAGUUAAGCCCUCCAGCGCCCGACCCACCUCCGGUGGGUGCCCGAGUACCCUGGGAAUGGGGUGGGAGAGUAGGGCGUUGCCGGGA